CCAGCACUGGGCAGGUUUCUAGGAGGGGGGUUUUACUCCAGGACUGAUGAGUAGACUUUCUUAGUCUGCCUGAAACAAGGCCUGGGGGAAGAAGGUCAGAGGAGAUGGUUGCCUGGGGAAGAGACCAGCAGGUCACUGUUUGCCUCUGAAGACCGGGUUAACAGCCUUUGGUGAAAACCCCAACUACGGAACUUCGGUCCCCGGGGCUGCUGAGCCCUAAUACGAUUACACAUCUAAAUGCAAUAAACGGGGCAAAGUGGUAUUAUU
This is a long non-coding RNA of Bubalus bubalis (water buffalo), 267 nucleotides long. RefSeq lists it as uncharacterized. The record is from RefSeq and is a predicted model, not a curated record. Lineage: Eukaryota; Metazoa; Chordata; Mammalia; Artiodactyla; Bovidae. The transcript is spliced from 2 exons.